CAGCAGCCACGGUAAUACAGAGGAUGCAAGCGUUAUCCGGAAUGAUUGGGCGUAAAGCGUCUGUAGGUGGCUUUUCAAGUCUGUUGCCAAAUCCCAGGGCUCAACCCUGGACAGGCGGUGGAAACUACCAAGCUGGAGUACGGAAGGGGCAGAGGGAAUUUCCGGUGGAGCGGUGAAAUGCGUUGAGAUCGGAAAGAACACCAUUGGCGAAAGCACUCUACUGGGCCGACACUGACAUUGAGAGACGAAAGCUAGGGGAGCAAAUGGGAUUAGAUACCCCUGUAGUCCCUGUCUCUUAUAC
Molecule: ribosomal RNA, 301 nt
Filed under: uncultured bacterium
Lineage: Bacteria
Description: partial 16S ribosomal RNA
Rfam family: Bacterial small subunit ribosomal RNA
Source: RNAcentral